RNAcentral lists this unclassified non-coding RNA (382 nucleotides) under uncultured Verrucomicrobiae bacterium. RNAcentral's name for it is "contains 16S-23S intergenic spacer region". The record is from RNAcentral. Lineage: Bacteria; Pseudomonadati; Verrucomicrobiota; Verrucomicrobiia.
UCCUCGUUUAAAGCGAGGCAGUCUGUUUAGAGACCUCCUUGCGGAGUAACUAAACACAGGGGUUGCGCUCGUUGCGGCACUUAAGCCAACAUCUCACGACACGAGCUGACGACAACCAUGCAGCACCUGUCUAUCCCCUGCACCCUUUCGGGCCGUCACCGGCUUUCACCGAUUUUCGUGAUAGAUGUCAAGGCCAGGUAAGGUUCUUCGCGUUGCAUCGAAUUAAGCCACAUGCUCCACCGCUUGUGCGGGCCCCCGUCAAUUUCUUUGAGUUUUAAUCUUGCGACCGUACUUCCCAGGCGGUUCACUUAUCGCGUUAGCUGCGGCACGCAGGGGGUCGACUCCCCGCACACCAAGUGAACACCGUUUAGGGCCAGGACUA